This is a long non-coding RNA of Triplophysa dalaica, 1885 nucleotides long. RefSeq lists it as uncharacterized. The record is from RefSeq and is a predicted model, not a curated record. The transcript is spliced from 3 exons. NCBI's taxonomy places the organism in Eukaryota, Metazoa, Chordata, Actinopteri, Cypriniformes, Nemacheilidae.
UGCUGUAAAAACUACAGCGUUAUUUUACAGAAGCUGACUGUAUUUUAAAUAAUACAGAAUAUUGCUGUAAAGUGCAAUGCAUUCUGGGGUCACGUGACGGAUUAACUCAAUGUACAGAAUAUUGCUGUAAAUUUCAAAUCUACAAUGGCGGGAUGAUCUUCAACAGUCGAGAUUGGGGUAGUGCGCAAAAUGAAUGAUUCACACCUGUGGUAAGUAACUUAUUACGUAUUUUUUUUCCAUAUUUGGUAACUAUCAUACUGGUAACUUUAUAUAGAGGUAUCUAAAUUCGCGGUUCAUAUUGCUAACCCCGGAUUCAACCUCCAUCCGCGGGGACCGAAGGAGUCUUGCGGGGUUUCAGCAGCGCCGUCGCGGUAAGAUUUCAAACAUUCUCCGUCGCUAUAGCACCUGAGGACAGAAGUUGUUCAUGUUAUUUAGAGUUUUUGUUCACACAAGGAGUGAAGGCGGUAUGUGACGAGCUACAGUUCAUUGUUUUAGUUAGUUGACGAUUGUUUUUUAAAUGUUGAACAACGCGCCCGCCGUAGACUCGGUAAAAGUUACAUGCUUCGACAGUUGGGAUACCACACUCGCUCGUGAUUAUUUUGUGGUGUAAUUCAAAUUUGCAAAUGCAGUCAUCCGUUAAAUCGAGCGCCCAAAUUAAAAUGAGUCACCAUAGCUUGAGGUAAGUCGAUGUUCACGGAGGAUAGCCCGGUAAAGUGAUUAAUGUACGUAACCAUCUAGAUAUACAGUUUAUGUAUCGGAGGCCAGAUGAGAGCUUGAGCAAAAGACGUUAGCGACACCCUCAUUGUAUAGCAGGCCUGUCUCCCAAAUAGGACCGUUGGAGGGUGGGAGUGAGACCCGUUACAAAAUACUAGUGUGACAAUUUCUUGACCGUGACAUCCCUAACGUUAGUUGGAUUACAUUUCUGUAUAAGUACGGUUUUAAGUGUAAGUUACUCUGUUUAAUUUGCUUAGAGUUUGUUUGUAGAGUCACUUAUACUAAAAUGUAGUUAAAAUGUAAAAUGCUUAAAGAUAAUUGUAUAGUCACUAUUAACUAUUACUAUUGUCACAUGUAUAAUUGUUUGUUUUAGGACACACUUUGCCAUGCAGGCCACUGGAUGCUGACUACUGAAGGUUAGGUUGUGUGUGACGGUGCUCAGCACAGCUUCAUGUCUGGCCUUCCCACUCUGUUCAUAGCAUGUUACAUAUCCAGUCUUGAGUACCAGGAUGGGGCAGCGUGUACUUGGAGUCCAAUGAAAGAUAUUAAUCCAGAGAGUGGAACAAGCAGCGUCAUCUAAAAUGCCAGGAUACAGAAGAAACAGGUUGCAGUGAACCCACAUGUCGCCGCUCUUCUAAACACAAUGAUGAAUAUUCAGUGUAAUCGAUGAAAAUUCCAGCUACUUGUUGUGCUCUGAUGGAUCAAGAUGUGGACCGUUUUACAGACUCACUUGGGCCUUGUUUUGCAAUGUUGUUUCAUGAUGGUAAUGUUGGUUAACGUGUUGUUUAAACAUUAAUGUUUAAAGAGCCAUGUUGGAUACUAUGAAGUUCUUACUGAAUAAAAUUAUUUCAUGUACAACAACGUACACAAUUUGUCUGUAAUGUAUUUUUGUAUCAAUUAAAAAAAAAUAAACACUGUAUAUCCAGUAUGCAAAACAUACUGGAUAUACAGUGAUUUAUGUAUUUCUUCUAAAUAAAGUAAAUUAAAAUCAAGCAAUUUGCUGUAAAAAAUACAGCAUUAUACUGUUGCUAUUCAAAAUUACAGUUUUUCCUGUAUUCUGCAAUUACAGUAAAUGGCUGUAAAUUAAAUUACAGUACUGUGGCUGUACAAUUUACAGUAACUGGCUGGCAACCCUGCUGCCAGUAGUUUACUGUAAAUUUUACAGGAUUUU